GUUUUGUUUAUAAUAAGCGAAGAGAUGAUAUUAAUAAAACUGUAUGGUGCAGAAAGUGUCUUUUUCAUUACAGUUUCUGGUGUUGGGCAACGGUAGAUCACUAUGGCUUCUGUACCGUGAAAUGAAGCUUAUGAUGAAAUACUGAUGCUUGGCCAAUCUCACCAACGGGAUAUAAUAAGAACUGAUGCAGGUUUAUAACUACAUGUAUUGUCUAUCCGGAACAAAGUUAGUACGCUUUUUAUACCGAAGUUGGAUUUUUUCUCCAGAUACAGGCAACUUACCCAACUUCGAAAGUAGUGCGCUGGAUUCGCCUAAAGAUGCGCUAAACAACACAUCAAUUAGUUUGACAGAUAAAACUUUGGAAGAAAGCUCGGUUCGGAAGUCCCGACAGCAAAGCGAGGUAAAAUGAGUGAAAAUGAAGUUUAAACUGAUUUAAAAUAAAAUAAUUUG
Long non-coding RNA from Armigeres subalbatus, 450 nucleotides. RefSeq lists it as uncharacterized. The transcript is spliced from 3 exons. NCBI's taxonomy places the organism in Eukaryota, Metazoa, Arthropoda, Insecta, Diptera, Culicidae. The record is from RefSeq and is a predicted model, not a curated record.